UAGGCAGCAGUGGGGAAUAUUGCACAAUGGGCGCAAGCCUGAUGCAGCCAUGCCGCGUGUAUGAAGAAGGCCUUCGGGUUGUAAAGUACUUUCAGUCGUGAGGAAGGUGUUAAGGUUAAUAACCUUAGCAAUUGACGUUAGCGACAGAAGAAGCACCGGCUAACUCCGUGCCAGCAGCCGCGGUAAUGCGGAGGGUGCGAGCGUUAAUCGGAAUUACUGGGCGUAAAGGGCACGCAGGCGGUUAAUUAAGUUGGAUGUGAAAUCCCCGGGCUUAACCUGGGAAUGGCAUUCAAGACUGGUUAGCUAGAGUCUUGUAGAGGGGGUAGAAUUCCAUGUGUAGCGGUGAAAUGCGUAGAGAUGUGGAGGAAUACCGGUGGCGAAGGCGGCCCCUGGACAAAGACUGACGCUCAUGUGCGAAAGCGUGGGGAGCAAACAGGGAUUAGAUACC
This 448-nucleotide ribosomal RNA is filed under the name uncultured bacterium. RNAcentral's name for it is "bacterial SSU rRNA". It matches the Rfam family "Bacterial small subunit ribosomal RNA", at positions 345 to 786 of the family's 1533-position model. The record is from RNAcentral.